This 254-nucleotide ribosomal RNA is filed under the name uncultured bacterium. RNAcentral's name for it is "partial 16S ribosomal RNA". It matches the Rfam family "Bacterial small subunit ribosomal RNA", at positions 524 to 776 of the family's 1533-position model. The record is from RNAcentral.
UACGUAGGGUGCAGGCGUUAAUCGGAAUUACUGGGCGUAAAGCGUGCGCAGGCGGUUUCUUAAGUCAGAUGUGAAAGCCCCGGGCUUAACCUGGGAACUGCGUUUGAAACUGGGAGACUUGAGUGUGGCAGAGGGGGGUGGAAUUCCGACGUGUAGCAGUGAAAUGCGUAGAUAUGAUGGAGGAACACCGAUGGCGAAGGCAGCCCCCUGGGUUAACACUGACGCUCAUGCACGAAGCGUGGGGAGCAAACAGG